UGGGGAAUAUUGCACAAUGGGCGCAAGCCUGAUGCAGCCAUGCCGCGUGUGUGAAGAAGGCCUUCGGGUUGUAAAGCACUUUCAGCGAGGAGGAAGGUGGUGAGCUUAAUACGCUCAUCAAUUGACGUUACUCGCAGAANAAGCACCGGCUAACUCCGUGCCAGCAGCCGCGGUAAUACGGAGGGUGCAAGCGUUAAUCGGAAUUACUGGGCGUAAAGCGCACGCAGGCGGUUUGUUAAGUCAGAUGUGAAAUCCCCGGGCUCAACCUGGGAACUGCAUUUGAAACUGGCAAGCUAGAGUCUCGUAGAGGGGGGUAGAAUUCCAGGUGUAGCGGUGAAAUGCGUAGAGAUCUGGAGGAAUACCGGUGGCGAAGGCGGCCCCCUGGACGAAGACUGACGCUCAGGUGCGAAAGCGUGGAGAGCAAACAGGAUUANAUACCUGGUAGUCCACGCUGUAAAACGAUGUCGAUUUUGGAGGUUGUGCCCUUGAGGCGUGGCUUCCGGAGCU
RNAcentral lists this ribosomal RNA (507 nucleotides) under uncultured bacterium. RNAcentral describes it as "partial 16S ribosomal RNA". It matches the Rfam family "Bacterial small subunit ribosomal RNA", at positions 355 to 853 of the family's 1533-position model. The record is from RNAcentral.